GUAGGUGGCAAGCGUUGUCCGGAAUUAUUGGGCGUAAAGCGCGCGCAGGCGGUUCUUUAAGUCUGAUGUGAAAGCCCACGGCUCAACCGUGGAGGGUCAUUGGAAACUGGAGAACUUGAGUACAGAAGAGGAAAGCGGAAUUCCACGUGUAGCGGUGAAAUGCGUAGAGAUGUGGAGGAACACCAGUGGCGAAGGCGGCUUUCUGGUCUGUAACUGACGCUGAGGCGCGAAAGCGUGGGGGGAGCAAACAGGAUUAGAUACCCUGGUAGUCCACGCCGUAAACGAUGAGUGCUAAGUGUCAGGGGGUUUUCCGCCCCCCCCCUUAGUGCUGCAGCUAACGCAUUAAGCACUCCGCCUGGGGAGUACGGCCGCAAGGCUG
RNAcentral lists this ribosomal RNA (379 nucleotides) under uncultured organism. RNAcentral's name for it is "partial 16S ribosomal RNA". It matches the Rfam family "Bacterial small subunit ribosomal RNA", at positions 527 to 896 of the family's 1533-position model. The record is from RNAcentral.